AGUCAGUGUUAUGUUUUCAUCAAGUGCUCAUAUUUAGCACCCAGUGCUCCAAUUGCUCCAAUGUUCGCUGGCAGCUCUAUGUUCUAUGCACGCACUUCCAUCCACCGACUGAAUGUGUUAUCCACCCACUUUCCGCCUGGUAAUAUGUUAAUAGCACUAUGCGUCACUUGCAUCCUGGCACAUUGCAAUCCGUCCGCGUGGGUGGAUGUCUUUUCGUCCGACUUAAGUCUGCCAACUGUCUGCUUUCCUCCAUGGACAAUAUGGUCGCUGCCUGGUGGCUGCCUUGUGGUUUUCUGAUUUAUAACACUGUUUACACGCCCUGCCAAAAAGUUUGAUUUACUGGCCAUUGGACCGGCGGCCACGUGUGCCCAUUCGAUUGCCAUAACUCAUACGACCCGUUGUACUUUCGUUCCUGCUGAGCAAAAGGACUCACGCAUGCGCAGAUGGAAUGUAACCUUAGUUCGCAUUAUAUUAUUAAGAAUGUCUUAG
Non-coding RNA from Drosophila melanogaster (fruit fly), 489 nucleotides. The record is from Ensembl. NCBI's taxonomy places the organism in Eukaryota, Metazoa, Arthropoda, Insecta, Diptera, Drosophilidae.